This 497-nucleotide ribosomal RNA is filed under the name uncultured bacterium. Its description in RNAcentral is "partial 16S ribosomal RNA". It matches the Rfam family "Bacterial small subunit ribosomal RNA", at positions 28 to 507 of the family's 1533-position model. The record is from RNAcentral.
GAUGAACGCUGGCGGCGUGCCUAAUACAUGCAAGUCGAGCGAACAGACGAGGAGCUUGCUUCUCUGACGUUAACGGCGGACGGGUGAGUAACACGUGGAUAACCUACCUAUCAGACUGGGAUAACUUCGGGAAACCGGAGCUAAUACCGGAUAAUAUCUUGAACCGCAUGGUUCAAUAGUGAAAGACGGUUUUGCUGUCACUUAUAGAUGGAUCCGCGCCGCAUUAGCUAGUUGGUAAGGUAACGGCUUACCAAGGCAACGAUGCGUAGCCGACCUGAGAGGGUGAUCGGCCACACUGGAACUGAGACACGGUCCAGACUCCUACGGGAGGCAGCAGUAGGGAAUCUUCCGCAAUGGGCGAAAGCCUGACGGAGCAACGCCGCGUGAGGGAUGAAGGUCUUCGGAUCGUAAAACUCUGUUAUUAGGGAAGAACAAAUGUGUAAGUAACUAUGCACGUCUUGACGGUACCUUAUCAGAAAGCCACGGCUAACUACGUG